UAAUAAUAAUAAUAAUAAUAAUAAUUAUUGCAAACUGUUUUCGGACCACUGACACAUGAGAAAUUCUUCAAAUGCGCAUUCUGUGAGAAGCGCUCAACAAACAGUGAAUUAGAUGUGCAUUUUCUUUAGUUUGUUCUUCAAAAUAUAUAAAAAGUCACAUAUAAUACGGAAUCACUCAGUAUUAAAGGGAACAGAAUUGUGUUUGGUAUUAAAUCAAUACAGUAAGUAUUGUCCCAUAUUUUAGCGCCUCAUCCGAACAGCUUUCAAUGUUAAUAAUUACAGAUUAGAAUGGAAAACAAAUAGAGAGAAAUAGAUCUGAAACAGACACCUUUCACAGGAGAGCCCUUACAUCUGCUGUUGCUCCACUAGUACACGGACGCAAAACUUGACAGAAAUGACAAUCAGCGCACGUCUUCUCUCAUGUUUUCCGUUGUUUUUCAGAAGUUCAUUUUGUCAGAAGGAAGAAAAAUUUGGGAAACUUUAUAGUAAAAAAUAACUAUAAAACGGAAAAUUAUACAGUGUUCCUGUGCGCGUGUAUUCACACAAUGAACGGCGCUCGCACUUGGCCUUCUGAAGCAAACAAGCAGAAACAAAAACUCAGGCAGCAUAUUUAUAUAAGGUUGGCAUUAAUGAUCGAUUUACUAUUGAUAAUUAACUUAUAAAUUCAACUAAAAACAAAACCUCCGAGUGCUCAUGUUUAUGAUCUGACUGGAACAAAUUGGACACCACUCAACCGAAAAAACCUCAACGGAUCUGCACAAAUUCAAAAGUGACUAUUUUUUAAAUCAAAACACCGUAUUAAGAGGAAAGGUAAGCAGUAUCCAUCCUUGACUUAACAUUGCUCAAACCAUUCGAACAGCUAAUGUCCAUUUGGCUGUCCUCUACACCUUGUCGGCAAUGCAAUUCUCCAGUGCAUCGAUUAGUUAUAAACAAAUUAUUUAUCAAACCACCUUAUUUAUUUGUUGUGUAUUUAUCAGUUUUCUUAUUGUAUGAGUGUGCUUCGUGUUAAUAUAUAUCCCUAAGAAAAACAUCCACCAACACAUUCAGUUGUAAUAUAAUAGGACUUUUUUUUGCCUCAGUGCUCCUGUUGCAUAAUAAGAAAAUUAGCAAAUAAUCAUAAAACCAGAAGGUAAUCUAACAGUCAAAAACUUACACUACGGCUUCCCUUAAUACAUUCCAUUCAGACUGCAAACUCAGAAAAAGAAAUGCUAUGUCUUUGGUGCUGUUGCAGGUUUUAGAGAAAAACUAACUGUAGCGCGGAGGAGGGCGGGGCCGGGCAGAAUGAUGGACGCCCAGACACCAAUCAGCCUGAUGAGGGAGGGAUGCCCGUCGUAGAGUCCUCGACACUGCCGUCCACCCAGGGGAGCGCCUCUGCCAUCCGCCAGGGGACGGAGUAGCCCGACCGCCUGGACACGGGGAACGGCCGCCAUCUGCGAGGAGGGACGGGACUCUCCGACCGCCUGGAGUGAUGGAGUCGCUGCCAGGGGCGGAGGAGUGUCCCCACGUGCCGCCAGAAAAGCAGAGGGGUGUUCUGUUCACUGGGGGUCGGAGGUUUGACUCCGGUCCGCCCGGGGAGGAGCGGCUAUCAUCCGCCUGAGAGGGUGGAGGAGUGAUCGUGAACCACGCGACGGCGCAUCAGAGAACCGGUCAAGGAAGAUGGGGAUGACCUAAGGCACGCCCCCCACCCCGGAGAGGAGGGGUGUGUACGUCAUGCUGGGGGCUCCCCAGCCUGAGGCAACACAGGGACGAGUGUAGUGUGGAGGAGGGCGGGGCCGGGCGGAAUGACGGAUGCUAAUGAGCGUGAUGAGGCGAGCGAGGGAUAAAGGCGACUGAAGACGGCAGCUCGAGAGAGAGCGAAUUAUGGGAAGCUGCCCUGUAUGUGUUUGUGUGUCUUAUUUAAUUAAAUAUUAUUUACAUUGUUAAGCCGGUUCUCACCUCCUCCUUUCCUUUGUACCCCCUUUACACUAACAAAUUUCAAUAAAUAGACUGAAAGAGUACAAUAAUAAAGAGAUCAUUAUCCUUAAAUUAAUCUUGCAUCUCUCUCUUUCUCCGUUCAAUGUAACCUGGUCAUCAUCCUCACUUGUAUUAGUAUCAGGUAUCUAUUCCCAUCCCUUUCUCUUUCUGUGUGUUUCUAAGCUGUCCUUGCAUCAGCUCUCUCUCUCUCUCUCUUAGCAGAUGGCUGAAGCAUCAACAGCAAUGUCAUUAAAUCCCACUUCACCCACAUACCCCCCUCCCACUGUUAGGGGAUAUUCUCCUGCUGCUGGGUCAUAA
This is a long non-coding RNA of Myxocyprinus asiaticus (Chinese sucker), 2271 nucleotides long. RefSeq lists it as uncharacterized. The record is from RefSeq and is a predicted model, not a curated record. The transcript has 3 exons. NCBI's taxonomy places the organism in Eukaryota, Metazoa, Chordata, Actinopteri, Cypriniformes, Catostomidae.